RNAcentral lists this long non-coding RNA (263 nucleotides) under Lathyrus oleraceus (garden pea). Its description in RNAcentral is "Pisum sativum (pea) long non-coding RNA (PSAT_LNC039284)". The record is from RNAcentral. Lineage: Eukaryota; Viridiplantae; Streptophyta; Magnoliopsida; Fabales; Fabaceae.
AAAAAUAUGACCGUUUAAAGGGUCGUAAUCGAUUACACCGAAAGUGUAACCAAUUACACCUACAAAAAAUGUGAGAAUUUUGAACCAUUGCGAUUCCAAUUCAUUUCAAUUGUUCACGGAUCUUCCUCAAACCAUUAUAUAAAAUCCUACUUCAAGAGGAAAUUAUAGUCGUGAAACCUUGUUACGGGAUGACCAUAAAAUGCAUUCUUUUUCUGAUCAUCAGUAACCAAAUUCAUAUCUUUAAGGUGACUGAAACACAUACU